GGAUAUGAGGGUGAUCUGGCUGCGACAUCUGUCACCCCACUGAUCGCCAGGGUGGAUUCAGCUGAUCUGGCUGGCUAGGCGGGUGUCCCCUUCCUCCCUCACCACUCCAUGUGCGUCCCUCCCAAAGCUGGGUGCUCGGUCGAAGAGGACGGCCUUCCCCGAAUAGAGACGGACCGGAGCUGCGCUCCCCUGCUAGAACCUCCAAACAAGCUCUCAAGAAAUAAAAUUUUAAAAAGAAGAAACAGAUUUCCACCACUAAAAAGGCGAAGGGGCCCGGUGGUGGCACACCU
This is an unclassified non-coding RNA of Erinaceus europaeus (western European hedgehog), 290 nucleotides long. Its record names the gene 7SK. It matches the Rfam family "7SK RNA". Rfam says of the family: 7SK was discovered as an abundant small nuclear RNA in the mid-70s but a possible function has only recently been suggested. The record is from Ensembl. NCBI's taxonomy places the organism in Eukaryota, Metazoa, Chordata, Mammalia, Eulipotyphla, Erinaceidae.